UUUUUUUAUUGUCCUUUCACCAGAAAAUUAAAAUGUUUUUCUCUAAUAACACGAAUCCAGAAAUUCAUUGAACACCUUUAUCCCAAGAACACAAACCCAUAAAUUCUCUCUAUCGUCUUUCUUCUUCCUCCUUCUUGUUCCUUCAUCCCAACCACUAAAACCAGAAUCAAACCCUAAUCAGUGUGUCCUUUCAAAAUUCGCUCUCAGUUUCAUCAAUUUGGGUGAAGAAUGAUUUUGGGUUGUUUUUUUAAAAAUUUGCACCUUUUUAUGGAAGAACAAGAAUGAUUAUGGGUUGUUCUUCUGACUCGAUUGUGAUUGUGGGGAAAAAUUUAAGCUUUUUGAGAUAAGAAACAGUGGUGUUGGAAUCUAUGAGAUUGUAACUGAGACUGUAACACUUUUUCACAGAGAAGCCAUGAAACUAGAUUUGGGAAGAGGAGUCGUCGUCGGAAGCCAGCUCACCACCGUCGAAGCGUGCCGACCAUAUCCAACAACAUCCACUAUUUUCUAUGCGACUAUGUUUUCUAUGUGACACAGUUUUCUCUACUUCUAACCCUUCACGAAACCGGUGAUUUUUUUAUUUUCGGAAACUUGUGCCGGUGAUUUUUCCGAUGCCGGUGCGGUUGUUGUUUUUUCUCCCUCGUUUUGUGAGGAAGAAAUUUGGUCAAAUGACAAGAACAGGAAGAAGGUUGAAUGUAUGUGUGAAACAUUGCUACUGUUGGAUCCACGUUGGCUCAACAAAUAAUUCUUUGUUCAAUGCUUAAUAAUUGUUUUGUCUAGAUUAUUUUCUUUAGAUCAAAAGGAACGUUUAUGAUUUAAAACAAAUGUGUGAUUUACUCAGUACCUCAUAUCAUUUAUGAUUUAUAUGAAUAUGUUUGGUGGUGCCAGCUACUAGCGGUUACAUUUGUUUGGUGGUUCCAUUUUCUUCUCUUAUUUUCUUUUCUUUCUGUGCGUAUGUUGUUGUUGGGAGAGAGGAGGGGUAUUUUUAUCCAUUCUCAUGCCUAUUUGCCAAUUAACAAAGCCACGUAAGUAAUCAUAUGACCUGAAAGCGAUUAACCGGCUCAAAGAACGAAAUUUUAAAUAAUUAAUGAUUGCAAGACUAAUUUGGAAGGGAUAGCGAAUACAGAGACCGAUUUUUAAACGAUUCCUAAUUACAAGGAUAAAAUACAUAUUUAAGCAUUUUUUGUAUCUCUUGAAAACAUUCAUUGGUAUUGAUAGUGAAUUGGAGAGUUGCUCUCUCCACUGAAUGUAGGUCAAUCUAUGUUGAAAUAGGUAAAUAAUAUUGGCCCAAUAGUUUCUAUAUUUUCUUUAUCUCGUUGUUCUUUACAUUGAAUGUUUCAUAGUGCAUUACACUUAGAGAUUUGUUCUUGGUUGUUAUAGUUGUUAGCUUGGGAUGUUUAGUUUCGAUAGUCAUUGUUAUUUGUUCCAUAUUCUUGUUGAAACCAUCAACAAGUGGCAUGGGUCACUAGGAAGGGAACAAAUCUUUCAAGUGAGCAUCCUGGGUGAUAAAUGGGAUACUGAGAAAUUUUCCGAAAAUAUCAAUUUUGGAUUGUGGAAAGUGAAGAUGGAAGCAAUCUAAUUCAACAUAAAUGUGUAGAUGCUUUGAAUGAUGAGGCUUUAAUGUCUAAGACUCUGACCAAAUCAGAGAAGACUAAGAUGAUAAUUAAAGCAGGUAGUUUAAUCAUCUUGUGCUCAAAAAUUAAUUGUUGAGGGAAAUCACGGGAAAAAGAUUGCAACGAAGAUGUGGACCAAGCAGGGCUGUUCCAAUAAAAUUGGAAGUUUGGCUCUAAUAUUAAAAAUGGAGUUAAUGAUAAUUUAAAUAAUUGCAAAUUAAUAAUAAGGAUAAUUUUGAUUUUAAUUUGUUUUGGUGAAUUUUUUUUUUGUUGAUAGAUGUGUGGGUUUAGCCUAACUUGGUGUGUUUGCUCUGCAAAACAGCAAGUACUGGACAGAACAGUACAAGAUAGAACAGUACAACACAAGGCAGAACAGCACAUGACAAAUUUUUUAUGGCAUUGAGUAAUUUUUUGUUUUAUACGAUUUUUGAGGGACAAAAUGCUAUUUUGGUAUUUUAGACAACUUGUACGUGGGACAAAAAGUUGUGCUNAAUUGCAAUCAUUUAGAAGGUAAACCUUGCUUCUUCCUCUCUCGUAUUGUUUCUGUAUAAUUUUUUUAGAGUUCUGCCAUAUUCAAUGAAAAGUUUGAUCCUUUUAUUUCUGUAAAUUUUAUGCACCCUACCAAAAGUUUGUGAAUUUUACAACAUAGCAGAACAUGUACAUUUAAAUAACAUAAUGCGAUAAACGCGAAAAUUUGUAAAUGUGCCUCUGGUAUGUACAUACCGAAGGUGUAAAAUGUGAAAAUUUAAAAUGCACUACCGGUAUGUAACUACCGGAUAUAUUAUAAAGGUUAUUUUUGUAUUUUUAGGGGGCCUAAAGAGAUAUUGGGGGGGCCUAAAAAGCAAUCUUCAACCAUGAUAGGCUGGCCCACUUCCGGCCCAAGCCUCGCCAUUUUUUUAGUUUAGCCCAACUUAUAUUAAUUUUGACAGAUUUUCCUCCGGUCUUAUUUAUAUAAAAUAUUUCACUUUUUUGAUUCAUUGUAUGAAUAAUAUAUUUAAUUUAUAUUUUAGACAAAAUACAUUAAUUAUUUAAUAAAUUUAAAAAGUCAAAAAUUUCUUAUAAAUAGGAACGGAGGGAGUACUUGUUAACGAAUGUCUUCCGACACUUUUUAAGCAUCUCUAAUAAAGAAAUUAUUUAUAAAAUAAAAUAAAGGUUUUACACAAUUGGGAAUUUGUAUGAAUCAAACGUAAUAAUCAACGAAAGUCAAUGUUUCUUGAGGAAUAUGUCUAAAUUUAUUUUGAGGAAAUUAUAAUAUAUUUUACAUGGUGAGUGGAGAAGAUGCAUGGUUAAUUAAAUAAUGGAUGUCCUCGUGAGCUUAACUCAGUUUGCAUGAACAAUGCAUAAUAAAAAUUGAUUUUUUGACAAUGAAUAUUUUCUAUUGACACAAGUAAAUGACGUUUUUACCUCGAGCGGCAGUUAACAACUGUUAGUCUAAGCGCCAGCUGUUAACAACCAUUGGCUCCAGCGGUAGUUAAUUGCUGCUACGUGCGUUAUGGGGAUGCAUUGUCUUUUUCAUCAUUCAACAUCUUUUUCAUCAUUCAUUCAACCUAUUUUUUCAACAUUCAGCCACUUUUUUCAUCAUUCAAUCUCUUUUUCCAUCAUUCGUUCAAUUCUUUUUUGAACAUUCAGCCUAUUUUUUCUACAUUUUUUCCUAUAAAAACCCUCACAUUCUCUCCUCCUUACUCUCAUUUCCUCAAAUUCUCUCCUCCUUACUCUCAUUCUUCCUCUUUCUUCUACAAAAUGUUGGUUUGUCAUCAUUCGUCUUUCAUUGAAAUAAGCCUCUUUGAACAUUUUAAGAGGUUUCUUUGAAUUGGUUUUACCCCAGGAUUUAGGGUUUAGGGUUUAUGGUUUGUGUUUUUUUUUCUUUGUUUUAACCCAAGUGGUAGUUAAAUGUAUUAUUAAACAACAAGAGUGCAAAGGUGAGGAACAAUAUUUUUUGGGUCAUCUUGGUGUUGUCUUGUAUGAGUAUCUUGGAGAAGAGUAUUCAAAAGUUCUAGGAAUAAAGAUGACUCCACCUAUUAAGGAAUAAAUGUACGACGAGAGGAACAAUUUUUCGUCAUCUUUGUGUUGUCUUGUAUGAGUAUCUUGGAGAAGAAUAUCCAUAAGUUCUAGGAAUAAAGAUGACUCCACCUAUUAAGGAAUAAAUGUACGACGAAGAUGUUAUUUUUAAUGUUAUUGGUAUGACAAAGAUGACUCCACCUAUUAACGAAUAAAUGUACGACGAAGAUGUUAUUUUUAAUGUUAUUGGUACGACGAAGCAGAUUUAGUUUUACCCCAUUGUAAAUGUAUUAUUAUAUUAAUAAAAUGUGAUUUUAUAUCUAUUACUUGUGUUCCUUUAUUUUAGUUUUUAUUUGCAUUUAUUUAUUUAUAUGAAAUACAAAAAUUCAUAUAAAAAUGUGUAUUAAAGAAAUUAAUACGAACACAACAGCAGUUAACAACCGAUGGAGCCAACGGUUGUUAACAGCUGCCGCUUAGCCCAACGGUUGUUAACAACCGUUGGGGAUAUUUAAGUAUUUUACUUGUGUCAUUGUGAAGUUUCUUAGGUCAUAAAAACAAUUUUCAUGCAUAAUAUAUGCAUGAUCUGGGGUUCGAACCCCGAUCACCAUAAAAAAAAAAAAAAAAAACUAUUAAAAAAAGGAUGGGGUGAUGUGGCUUCAUGGAGUGUGUUAAAGGAGUGAGUUUGAGAGUGUGAUCAUAGCAUUUAUCUUCUUUUGUAUGGUUGUUACGGGCUUUCUCGACGAAAAAAUGUUCUUUUUUUUAAGAAAAGGAGCGGGGAAUGUUAAAGACCUUUUCAUACUGUCCUUUAUUGAUUAUGUAUUUUCUAUUCGUAUUGGUGUUUAUGCCUUAACAUCAUAUUCUUGGUGUUUCUAUCAAAAGCGUGGCGUCACAGGCACAGACGAAACUUGUUCAAAAGGCUUUUGGAGCGCGAGGCAUUAUUAGGAAGUGUGAGGCGUUUUUGUCGGGUUUGGGUGAUAAAAAUAGAUUAUUGUUUCUCGUUUUACGUAUUUUGUAGAGAUCAACUUUCACUAAAAGAUGGAACUUUGAGCAAAACUUAAAGAUUAAGGAUUUAGUGUUGAGAAAUGAUAUUUGUACAAACCAUUUUUGUACAACUUUUGUACAACCUUCUCUCUCAUACUCACAUUAUCUUCUUAUUCUCUCUCUUCCUCUUUCUCUCUCUAUUAUUUUUGACCAAUAAGAAGAGAACACAACAAGGUUGUCCCAAAAGUUGUAUCAAAAGAGUUGUUCAAAUAUCACUACUCUUUAGUGUUAUUGUGUGAGAUAAUAUGGUUGAGAAACACAUUCUAAACACCUUGAACAGUGAGAUUACAUUGGAGGAAGGAUCUAAACUUUCUCUCUUUAUUUUAUUGAGUGAUCUUGUUCUGGGUUGAGAGAAAGAGAGAGUAAAAAUUAGGGUUUGCUCUUGUUGAGAUUUAAAGUUAAUUUUUUGCAGGCUCAAAUAUGUAUUUCAUCGUUGCAAUUGGGGAUCGUUUAAAAAUUGGUUCAUGUAUUCGCUAAUCCUUGCAAACUAGCAUUGCAAUCAUUAAUCAUUUAAAAUUUCGUCACUUAAUGACCGCCACAUCAUCAAAUUAACAAAAUGGCAUAGGAAUGGACAAAAAUACCCUCAUCAUCCUUCUUCUUCCUUUGAACAUUGUUCAUCUUCAAUUUUUCAGAAACAAACCAUCUUCUUCUUCCUUUGAACCAUGAAUCAGUCCAACAACUUAGAAUUGACGGGUGAUUUUUACUGGUAAUGCUUCAUUGACCUCGAAGUGGAAGUUAUAAUUGCAUACAGCCAUACAUGAAUGAUUCAGAAUAUCAAUUUUUUUUUUAUUGUCCUUUCACCAGAAAAUUAAAAUGUUUUUCUCUAAUAACACGAAUCCAGAAAUUCAUUGAACACCUUUAUCCCAAGAACACAAACCCAUAAAUUCUCUCUAUCGUCUUUCUUCUUCCUCCUUCUUGUUCCUUCAUCCCAACCACUAAAACCAGAAUCAAACCCUAAUCAGUGUGUCCUUUCAAAAUUCGCUCUCAGUUUCAUCAAUUUGGGUGAAGAAUGAUUUUGGGUUGUUUUUUUAAAAAUUUGCACCUUUUUAUGGAAGAACAAGAAUGAUUAUGGGUUGUUCUUCUGACUCGAUUGUGAUUGUG
This 5750-nucleotide long non-coding RNA is filed under the name Medicago truncatula (barrel medic). RNAcentral describes it as "long non-coding RNA (MTRU_LNC005753)". The record is from RNAcentral. Lineage: Eukaryota; Viridiplantae; Streptophyta; Magnoliopsida; Fabales; Fabaceae.